Molecule: ribosomal RNA, 497 nt
Filed under: uncultured bacterium
Lineage: Bacteria
Description: partial 16S ribosomal RNA
Rfam family: Bacterial small subunit ribosomal RNA
Source: RNAcentral
GAUGAACGCUGGCGGCGUGCCUAAUACAUGCCAGUCGAGCGAACAGACGAGGAGCUUGCUCCUCUGACGUUAGCGGCGGACGGGUGAGUAACACGUGGAUAACCUACCUAUAAGACUGGGAUAACUUCGGGAAACCGGAGCUAAUACCGGAUAAUAUAUUGAACCGCAUGGUUCAAUAGUGAAAGACGGUUUUGCUGUCACUUAUAGAUGGAUCCGCGCCGCAUUAGCUAGUUGGUAAGGUAACGGCUUACCAAGGCAACGAUGCGUAGCCGACCUGGGAGGGUGAUCGGCCACACUGGAACUGAGACACGGUCCAGACUCCUACGGGAGGCAGCAGUAGGGAAUCUUCCGCAAUGGGCGAAAGCUUGACGGAGCAACGCCGCGUGAGUGAUGAAGGUCUUCGGAUCGUAAAACUCUGUUAUGAGGGAAGAACAAAUGUGUAAGUAACUAUGCACGUCUUGACGGUACCUAAUCAGAAAGCCACGGCUAACUACGUG